Molecule: long non-coding RNA, 150 nt
Organism: Drosophila miranda
Lineage: Eukaryota; Metazoa; Arthropoda; Insecta; Diptera; Drosophilidae
Exons: 3
Source: RefSeq, a predicted model, not a curated record
CUCUGUUGUCCCCCUGUGUGUUGUUUAUUGGCUGGAUGUACUGUCGGCGAUUGGAUGUUGUUGCUGGCGACCUUUGUCCGGUUUGUGAUGGCGUGAGAGACGUUUGCGGGAUUUGCUAGCGUCCGGCGGCUCAACACCAGGCCAUCCCGC